This 480-nucleotide ribosomal RNA is filed under the name uncultured bacterium. RNAcentral's name for it is "bacterial SSU rRNA". It matches the Rfam family "Bacterial small subunit ribosomal RNA", at positions 28 to 509 of the family's 1533-position model. The record is from RNAcentral.
GAUGAACGCUAGCGGCAGGCCUAACACAUGCAAGUCGAGGGGUAGAGGAAGCUUGCUUCCUUGAGACCGGCGCACGGGUGCGUAACGCGUAUGCAAUCUGCCUUGUACAGAGGGAUAGCCCAGAGAAAUUUGGAUUAAUACCUCAUAGUAUUAUUGAAUGGCAUCAUUUAAUAAUUAAAGUUCCAACGGUACAAGAUGAGCAUGCGUCCUAUUAGCUAGUUGGUGUGGUAACGGCAUACCAAGGCUACGAUAGGUAGGGGUCCUGAGAGGGAGAUCCCCCACACUGGUACUGAGACACGGACCAGACUCCUACGGGAGGCAGCAGUGAGGAAUAUUGGACAAUGGGCGCAAGCCUGAUCCAGCCAUGCCGCGUGCAGGAAGACGCAUCUAUGGUGUGUAAACUGCUUUUGUACGGGAAAAACACUCCCUCGUGAGGGACUUGACGGUACCGUAAGAAUAAGGAUCGGCUAACUCCGUGCC